RNAcentral lists this ribosomal RNA (509 nucleotides) under uncultured bacterium. Its description in RNAcentral is "partial 16S ribosomal RNA". It matches the Rfam family "Bacterial small subunit ribosomal RNA", at positions 28 to 506 of the family's 1533-position model. The record is from RNAcentral.
GACGAACGCUGGCGGCGUGCUUAACACAUGCAAGUCGAACGAAGAGCGAUGGAAGCUUGCUUCUAUCAAUCUUAGUGGCGCACGGGUGAGUAACGCGUAAUCAACCUGCCCUUCAGAGGGGGACAACAGUUGGAAACGACUGCUAAUACCGCAUACGAUCUAACCUCGGCAUCGAGGAAAGAUGAAAGGUGGCCUCUAUGUAUAAGCUAUCACUGAAGGAGGGGAUUGCGUCUGAUUAGCUAGUUGGAGGGGUAACGGCCCACCAAGGCGAUGAUCAGUAGCCGGUCUGAGAGGAUGAACGGCCACAUUGGGACUGAGACACGGCCCAGACUCCUACGGGAGGCAGCAGUGGGGAAUCUUCCGCAAUGGACGAAAGUCUGACGGAGCAACGCCGCGUGAGUGAUGACGGCCUUCGGGUUGUAAAGCUCUGUUAAUCGGGACGAAAGGCCUUCUUGCGAAUAGUGAGAAGGAUUGACGGUACCGGAAUAGAAAGCCACGGCUAACUACGU